UAUUCGCCUUUGCGGCUGAAAUUAGGGUUUCAGAAACUAUAGUUUGUUAUUCCUUACAUUUAUCUUAUUCAAUUUCGAUUUCAUACUAUGCUUCUCUAUCUGGUUGGUGCGGAUCUAUUCAAUUCCCAUUCAACUCGUUCCCUUGAAGCGAAAUUGAUGUGUGUUGUUCUUUUAUACUAUCUCCCUGCAACUCCUCCAUGUUGAUUUGGGAGAAUAAUGGAGCAGCUAAAUUUAUUUCAAAUUUUCAAAGACAUAUUUCAUUUAUUUAUUACCGUUUUCUCAUUGAUUGUGUUACUGGGAGUGUCAUAUUUUCAACUGUGAUGAGCCUACAGACCUGUAAUGAUUUGCGGCCAUGAUCGCAAACAUUUUUGAACAUCUAAGGGACUGAGUUUAUUGAUGCCACCCCCAGUUUUAUAAUGUUCUUUUUUAUUGAUUUUACUUUCAAAUUUUUUCUACUAUAUUUGAGGUUUUUUGAAUAUUUGUUUUAAAUUGGUUAAUUGUUUGAUAGAAGGCUUGAAUAUUCAUGAGGUUUUGCUUGCACUUAUAUAAAUGUGUAUGGUAAAGUUUUGAUUGAAGCCCACAAAUUUGUUCCCCUCGCUAUCCAAUGUUGCAAUUUGUGUGCGAUAUUAGGACGUCGGGGUACUAAAUAUUUCUUAUUUAUUCAUACUAUUAUUUUCUAGUAUUGUUCUUUGGUAGAUAGGGAUGAUGCAAAAUAUAUAAUCCAACACUUGAUCUGAGAUUAUUUAGUGAAGUUAAAUUGAUUUAUAUGCUUCUGAAUCUACCUUCUUCAAUGUUUCUAUCUUCAAAUGAAUAGUGUGAUUAUUUGAGUUUCUGAUAUUUUUCGAUUUUUAAUUCUCUUUAUUUGUCACCGUUCUUUGUUUGUUUCUAAUCAGAUGAUGAAAUUGGAAAAAUCUUAGGACACCUUCCUACACAGCAAUUAUGCUGUGGAUGAGAAUAAAUUUUCCAUUCUGAUGAUGUG
Lupinus albus (white lupine) is the source of this 979-nucleotide non-coding RNA. The record is from the annotation of a GenBank genome assembly. Lineage: Eukaryota; Viridiplantae; Streptophyta; Magnoliopsida; Fabales; Fabaceae.